RNAcentral lists this ribosomal RNA (472 nucleotides) under uncultured organism. RNAcentral's name for it is "partial 16S ribosomal RNA". It matches the Rfam family "Bacterial small subunit ribosomal RNA", at positions 335 to 798 of the family's 1533-position model. The record is from RNAcentral.
ACUCCUGCGGGAGGCAGCAGUGGGGAAUAUUGCACAAUGGGCGCAAGCCUGAUGCAGCCAUGCCGCGUGUAUGAAGAAGGCCUUCGGGUUGUAAAGUACUUUCAGCGGGGAGGAAGGCGAUAAGGUUAAUAACCUUGUUGAUUGACGUUACCCGCAGAAGAAGCACCGGCUAACUCCGUGCCAGCAGCCGCGGUAAUACGGAGGGUGCAAGCGUUAAUCGGAAUUACUGGGCGUAAAGCGCACGCAGGCGGUCUGUCAAGUCGGAUGUGAAAUCCCCGGGCUCAACCUGGGAACUGCAUUCGAAACUGGCAGGCUAGAGUCUUGUAGAGGGGGGUAGAAUUCCAGGUGUAGCGGUGAAAUGCGUAGAGAUCUGGAGGAAUACCGGUGGCGAAGGCGGCCCCCUGGACAAAGACUGACGCUCAGGUGCGAAAGCGUGAGGAGCAAACAUGAUUAGAAACCCGUGUAGUCCCAU